CUCUUGUCACAGCUGUAUCUUACUGUCUUUUGUGGGUGUGCCUCCCAUCAUAGUAUCAGGUGCACCACACAUUUAUGAGAACUCUUUGAGCAAUGUCACGGACAAACCUAAAGCAGUUCCACAGAUGUGUGGCCCGUUCUGCUGUAACAGACACACGCCCACAUUGCUCUGACGGUUGUACAAAAAGCUUUGAGAAGCAACAUACGGUACUUCCUGUCCACUCCCACACCUGGAGUAUAGAACUGGUAAAGUUUUUAUUUUUAAUUUUAAUUAUUCAAAGAUGAGUGGUUAUUCACAUAAAAGCUAAUGGCAUCAUUUUAAAAGGAAAACUCUGCAUGGCUAUAGUUUUUCAGGAACAUUUUCUUCUUUUAAUUCACAAUUCUUUGGACCAUAUGUGCUCCUCUUUCAAUCUUAACACCACAAUCUUAUGCAUGAAUUAUCAUGGGUAGUUUCCACAGAGUUACAUGGGACUCACUUCCACAUAUAUGAGAUUACACACACACACACACACACACACACACACACACGUUAAACAAGCUUAUCAGUCUUCUAAUCAACUGACUUCAAUGAGCUCCCUCUCUCUUUCAUUUUUACAAUUAUCAUUCUACUCAAAUAAAAACUGACUAAAAAUUAGCGCUACUAUAGUGAUAAAACAGGUAGUAGCUACUAUUUAUUCACAAAUGUAAUUGUGGGAGACGAGGAGUGAGAGCUCUGGAAGCUUCCUGGGGCCCUGCUGCAACUUUCUGAAAGCAUAGUGAGGAAGGAAAAUCCACUAGGUCUGUGAGUGGAAAAUAUACAGUCAUACCUCAUGUUACAUCUGCUUCAGGUUGAGCAUUUUCAGGUUGUGUCCCGCGGCAACCCUGAAGUGCCGGAAAGGGUUACUUCCGGGUUUCACCGCUUGCGCACGCACAGUCACGGAAAGUGACGUCACGCGCAUGCGCAGAAGCGGCAAUUUGUGACCCACGCACGCGCAGACGUGGGUUGCGUUCUGCUCAUGUUGCGAAUGGGCCUCCGGAACGGAUCCCGUCUGCAACCAGAGGUACCACUGUAUAUCAAUAAAUGGAGAACAGGGAAUGACAAGUUUUCCCUGCUCACCACUUAUUCCCACCCCACCCCACCCCCCCACAUGUGGGGUUACGAUCACAUAAGUAAAGUGAGUGUAAGCUGUGGAUUUAUUCUGUAGCGCAUCCCCGGCUUAACAACUCAGGAAAGGUCUUUUUUGCUGCCUCGGUAUUUCCAGCAUUACUAGAGGUAUCAAAUGGCUUGCAUUUAAAGGUCCUCACCAGGCCUGGUUUGCUUAGUCAUAUGUAUUUCAUAGUACCCUGACAUGCAAAAUUUUAACAGGCCUAUUUCCAACACAAAGAUAAAGAGACAGAAAAUGGUUCAUUGGCUUUCUUUCUUUCUUUGUUAGUUUCAUAAUGACUGCUGUUAAAACACACAUGAGCAGGGCCAGUUUGGAAGGGGGGUGGAAAGCAACUCUGUUUCCCCCUCCAGCUGCAGUUUUUUAGAAAAUGGUCCUAAUGAGCUCCCAUUUCAUGCAGGAGCUAGUGACAAAUGUUCAUUCACCUAUUCAUCUUAUUUAUUUGGUAUUAUUGUACACUGCUUUUCAUCAGCAAUGCAAUUUACAAUUAGGUUACCAGAUUCUUUUCAAUGACACAAUAAAUAAAUAAAUAUUUUUUUUAAAAAAAGAGAGAGGAAAAAAGUUAUUAAAAAAAUAAAGAAGUAACAUCUUCUCUUCUGUAGUCUCUUCUGUUACACGGCCUUCCUCUGGGUCCUGGCCUUUCUUGAAGCACUAACCAUGCUUCCCCCCUCCCUCCCUCCCCCUCCUUGCACUGCGAUCCCCUACAGGCUUACUUGGAAGUAAGUGUUAGCAGAAACCCCCUCCUCUUGCU
Molecule: long non-coding RNA, 1892 nt
Filed under: Podarcis lilfordi (Lilford's wall lizard)
Lineage: Eukaryota; Metazoa; Chordata; Lepidosauria; Squamata; Lacertidae
Source: RNAcentral